This 455-nucleotide ribosomal RNA is filed under the name uncultured bacterium. RNAcentral describes it as "bacterial SSU rRNA". It matches the Rfam family "Bacterial small subunit ribosomal RNA", at positions 340 to 786 of the family's 1533-position model. The record is from RNAcentral.
UACGGAAGGCAGCAGUGGGGAAUAUUGCACAAUGGGCGCAAGCCUGAUGCAGCCAUGCCGCGUGUAUGAAAAAGGCCUUCGGGUUGUAAAGUACUUUCAGUCGUGAGGAAGGUGUUAAGGUUAAUAACCUUAGCAAUUGACGUUAGCGACAGAAGAAGCACCGGCUAACUCCGUGCCAGCAGCCGCGGUAAUACGGAGGGUGCGAGCGUUAAUCGGAAUUACUGGGCGUAAAGGGCACGCAGGCGGUUAAUUAAGUUGGAUGUGAAAUCCCCGGGCUUAACCUGGGAAUGGCAUUCAAGACUGGUUAGCUAGAGUCUUGUAGAGGGGGUAGAAUUCCAUGUGUAGCGGUGAAAUGCGUAGAGAUGUGGAGGAAUACCGGUGGCGAAGGCGGCCCCUGGACAAAGACUGACGCUCGAUGUGCGAAAGCGUGGGGAGCAAACGAGGGAUUAGAUACC